This is an RNA transcript of Neodiprion fabricii, 1946 nucleotides long. It is a transcript of the gene named UPF0415 protein C7orf25 homolog, with no coding region annotated. The record is from RefSeq and is a predicted model, not a curated record. The transcript is spliced from 4 exons. NCBI's taxonomy places the organism in Eukaryota, Metazoa, Arthropoda, Insecta, Hymenoptera, Diprionidae.
UUGUCUCGAUAAUUGUUCAGUAGUGAAUAGUUGUAACAGUAAAUACAUGAUUAUAAUCAUACUAUGCCAAGGUUUUCCCGAACUCUGUCAAAAUAGUCCAUGCGGAUGUGCUGUGUUCUGUCAUGGAUGAGAAUACAGAGUUGCUAAAACAACUUGAAGAAAGAAUUCAAGGCGGCAAGCAAAUGAUAGAAGGUUUGAAGUUACUGGAACAUGUCGAAGGGGUUGACAAGUUUGCCAGAAAAAUUAAUCAGGAAAUCCGAUUUUUAAAAAAAGUACAAUCGACCGGGAAUGUGAAGAAGGAUCAUUUGCAAAGUACAAAUUUAAUCCAUCUUAGCGCCUUGGUAGAUCGUCUACAUGCCUCUAAGAAUCCGGUGAGUGUUAUCAAACCAUUCAAGUUUGAACAGUCUCGACUGGAGGUCGACAUCGUCGAUAACAAUGGAUCAACCUGGGUAAAAGUCAUAGCAAGAAAUGCACGAGCUUUGACGCUAAUAUCCCUUGGCAAUGGGGAAUAUGGACAGAAGUCUGUCCUGCAUCAAGCGGCAGCCUAUCUAAAAUGUGCUGCCCUCCAUCCACACAUGUACAAAAUACCAGAGGUCAUUUUUCAUUUUGCCUAUGGGAUAGAAACCCCAUUAGCUAUCAGAUUGAAACAUCUAGGAGUUUUGGUCGAGGGGGAAAAUAUUUCCUGCUCAGAAGUUCCGUCCCUGGAUAAUUCUUUCUUGAUGGACCAUACGCAACAACUUGAUUUCUCAGCUUUAGAUAUGUAUGACUCAGACUGUGAAAAUGAUCAGGGAGAGCUGAAGGAGGUGGCAAUGCUUGACCCAAUUAAUUCGGUGCACACGAACGAAAUAGAGGAGAUCAGAAUUCUCAAUUUGGAUGUUUCUACUCUAUUGGCGUAUGUUACGAACAUGGUGAAUGGGCAUACGCAUUUUAAGUAUCGUGAACCUCUGUUGACCAUGCAAGCAGAGUGGGAAAGAAGCCGUCCUGUAAAACCGAUUCUUGAUCAAAUUUUCCAGGGCAAGACAUUAAUCGUCUGCCGCACUGCCUAUGAUAAUUUUACAAACAUAAUUCGUGUUAUUGGAGGCCCUAAUGAAUCUCGGAGAAGUAAGGAAUUCAUGAGGAAGGUGACGAUCGUUCCUGACGAUCCUUGUGACAGGAUUAUGAAGGCGUUACCCCUUGGUGGUAGAAUCAAGGAUCGGUCAAGGCUCGUUUUUGCAACUGGUGAAAAUAUGAAGAGUAUCACUGUGUCGGCUAAUGAAGGGUUCGUCAGAGCAGCCAGGAUGCAGGGAAUUGAAUGCUCAGUUUUUCUACAUGAACCAAGAUCGUUAUCUGAAAUGAAAGAAAUUAAUGCUCAGAGAUUAAAUCUAUCGUGACAUCCCACAUCAACCAGAUUGAUUAAAAUGGGUGCCAAUAAAAACAACUCGCAAUAUUUAUACACGUAUGACCAUUUGCAAGCCUGAAGGUUAGGCACCACUGCCACAAAAGCACACUGGAAUUUUAAAUUACGGGGUUACCCUACUGUGAAAUUAUCAAAGUAAAAUGAUUUAUUUUUUCACUUUAAAAAAGGCAGAAGCGUCGAAAAAAAUCUAGGUUUUUCUUUUGUCAUUAAAGACGAAAAAAGCUUUGCAGCGGAUAGCCAAUAGAAUGUAGUUAACAAGCAUUUUUUUUUUUUUUGCGUUAGACCAACGAUACUUGCGAUAUCAUGUACACCGAGGGAUCGUGCACGAAAAUCAUCGAAACACGCGAAGCGACGUACCUUUCAUCAAAUUGUAAUUUUUCCGAUAAAAUUUUUUGAAUACGCUUCUUAACGGGUACAUGUGUUGAUAUCAAUAAAAUAUUAAUAUUGCAUGAGUAACUUUUCCGAAGAUAAUUCCUGAAAAUUAGCGUAUUUUGUCGUUUGUCACAGUAGGGUAUCCCUUAACUCAACGUUUUCGUGCCUUUCUGGUUGG